Molecule: ribosomal RNA, 490 nt
Filed under: uncultured bacterium
Lineage: Bacteria
Description: bacterial SSU rRNA
Rfam family: Bacterial small subunit ribosomal RNA
Source: RNAcentral
CUGGCGGCAGGCUUAAUACAUGCAAGUCGAACGGUAACAUGUCGGAGCAAUCUGAUGAUGACGAGUGGCGCACGGGUGCGUAACGCGUAUGCAACCUACCCAUAACCGGAACAUAACGUUGAGAAAUCGGCGCUAAUAUUCCAUGUGUAUAUUUUGUGGCAUCAUAGGAUAUAUAAAGAUUAAUUGGUUAUGGAUGGGCAUGCGUAUCAUUAGCUAGUUGGUAGGGUAACGGCCUACCAAGGCUGCGAUGAUUAGGGGUUCUGAGAGGAUAACCCCCCACACUGGAACUGAGACACGGUCCAGACUCCUACGGGAGGCAGCAGUAGGGAAUAUUGGGCAAUGGAGGCAACUCUGACCCAGCCAUGCCGCGUGAAGGAAGACGGUCCCUAUGGAUUGUAAACUUCUUUUAUCAUAGAGUAACCGCAGGGACGUGUCCCUGCCUGCAAGUAUAUGAUGAAUAAGCAUCGGCUAACUCCGUGCCAGCAGCUGC